Molecule: long non-coding RNA, 308 nt
Filed under: Sinocyclocheilus anshuiensis
Lineage: Eukaryota; Metazoa; Chordata; Actinopteri; Cypriniformes; Cyprinidae
Description: lncRNA (ENSSANG00000022379.1)
Source: RNAcentral
GAGCAGCUUUCACACACAGAGCAUCACAUCCAUUUCCUCCAGGUAACAGAGAUCUGACAAACAGGUGGUCUUCAGGAAGAGUUUCCAGUCUAUCUCGGUUACUCAUGGAUCUACAGACUCGCCCAACAUAACUGUCCGUUCUCGUCUCUCUUUUGAUGAUGUUGGUGAAUCUGUCGCACAUCUGAGAGAGAAACUGGAACAUUUCUGCAGAGAGGAGAUAGAAAAGAUUCAUGAUAAAGCAAAAUAUAUUGAGAUCAUUCCCACCCCUGAAUACAAGACAAGGAACGAGUUUCUACAGUAUUUUUUCC